GGAGGAAUCAGUGUAACUCUCAUGUUUUGCUGUCAGAACUCUGCUUGUGCUGUCCAGACACACAAGUCAGGGGGAAGAGUAUUUUCCUAGAACCAGUGAUGGAGAGCUCUUGUCAAAGUUAAUAGCUAUCUGUUCCCCUGGCUGCAUCCCCUGGGGAUCUCAAUCUCUAGGGCCUGCAUCUCCAAGGAAGCCGAAUGCCUCCCUCCUGAAUUUCAAUGAGCUUGAGCUCUUAAUCCCCUUACAGUUUGAAAACCUAGCUAAUAUGUGUCUAUGCACAGUCAGAUCCAUGCCUAACACAGCAACAUUCCACAGAGUCGUUUUUUCUUCAGAGAAUAUACUUUGAUCAAAACCAACACAGCUCAUGGAUCCAGGCUUAUUUUGAUGAAUUUUCUCCUUUGGAAGAAAAGGUGCAGGAGGGGCUUUCAGGAAAGCAAUACCUUCUGUCCUAAUAUUUUUGAGAAUGGAAGGAUCCCUCUCUCUGUGUAGAAGAAACUUUGUAUUUCAUACAUUUUUAGCAUAUUGAGUAGCAAGAAACAUAGAAGAAGAAUGAAAUAUACCCAUCUGAUCUCAAAUAUACCCACCUGAUCUGGACCAACUGAUUUCCCAGGGUUUUGUUUAGUAUUCAGUAUGAAAAAGAUCCAGGAAAGAUUCAAUAUCUUCAGAACAGAAAUUUGGGUGACUGAUUAGCAAUAUCUACUGGAGUUUGUUAGACAACCUGAGUUUUUAUACAAUAAAUUGAAGGAUGCUACAAUAAUGCAAUGAAUAUGUUUCAGACUUCCCUGCCUCUGAGCUCAGCUGGGUGUACUGGGGCCAGUGCAGCGUGGCUGUGAAACUGCUGGAUUGAGCACUGAGGAGCCCCCUGGCUGCCCUGAGCCACGGAGGCUUUUCUUCCCUCAAGACAAAGCUACUUCCAACAUGAAACUGGGCUGGGCACAGGGCCAGACACAAAACCAGACACACACACAAGGCCAGCUCCUGCCCUGUUAUCUCUCAUCUCUCUGAGACUUUGAG
RNAcentral lists this long non-coding RNA (1011 nucleotides) under Ficedula albicollis (Collared flycatcher). Its description in RNAcentral is "lncRNA (ENSFALG00000028092.1)". Lineage: Eukaryota; Metazoa; Chordata; Aves; Passeriformes; Muscicapidae. The record is from RNAcentral.